RNAcentral lists this small RNA (32 nucleotides) under Arabidopsis thaliana (thale cress). RNAcentral's name for it is "ATSL122460". Lineage: Eukaryota; Viridiplantae; Streptophyta; Magnoliopsida; Brassicales; Brassicaceae. The record is from RNAcentral.
CAGAAACAAGAAGAAGAACAAGAACCAUCACU